UUGCAUCUGUUGACAGACUUGAAGCAGAUUACUGUGGCUUUCCAGGUUUUUCUUAACAUGCAAGAUUAAUUUUCUUGUUUUCUGUUUGAUUUCAUAACAAUUCAGAUUGAAUAGAGUAAUACAUAU
Molecule: small nucleolar RNA, 126 nt
Organism: Stegostoma tigrinum
Lineage: Eukaryota; Metazoa; Chordata; Chondrichthyes; Orectolobiformes; Stegostomatidae
Product: small nucleolar RNA SNORA31
Exons: 1
Source: RefSeq, a predicted model, not a curated record